RNAcentral lists this transfer RNA (123 nucleotides) under Nemania serpens. RNAcentral's name for it is "tRNA-Arg". It matches the Rfam family "tRNA". From Rfam's summary of the family: Transfer RNA (tRNA) molecules are approximately 80 nucleotides in length. Their secondary structure includes four short double-helical elements and three loops (D, anti-codon, and T loops). Further hydrogen bonds mediate the characteristic L-shaped molecular structure. tRNAs have two regions of fundamental functional importance: the anti-codon, which is responsible for specific mRNA codon recognition, and the 3' end, to which the tRNAs corresponding amino acid is attached (by aminoacyl-tRNA synthetases). tRNAs cope with the degeneracy of the genetic code in two manners: having more than one tRNA (with a specific anti-codon) for a particular amino acid; and 'wobble' base-pairing, i.e. permitting non-standard base-pairing at the 3rd anti-codon position. The record is from RNAcentral. Lineage: Eukaryota; Fungi; Ascomycota; Sordariomycetes; Xylariales; Xylariaceae.
GGUUUCGUGGCCCAAUGGCAAGGCGUCUGACUACGAGAAAAAUCUAUCGCGACAACGAUGAGUUGGACAAUGGAUAACCUCAUAGUAAUCAGGAGAUUCUGGGUUCGACCCCCAGCGAGAUCA